RNAcentral lists this long non-coding RNA (807 nucleotides) under Fukomys damarensis (Damara mole-rat). RNAcentral's name for it is "lncRNA (ENSFDAG00000030945.1)". Lineage: Eukaryota; Metazoa; Chordata; Mammalia; Rodentia; Bathyergidae. The record is from RNAcentral.
CUUGUACCCCAUAGACACAGUUCUUUCUGCAGAUUCUAAGAGUUCCUCUCCUUUGCCUCUUUCAUUGCAGUGUGUUUAUUUGUGCUGGGCUCUCCCUCAUGAACACGAUUUUCUUCCUUCUUUGGUUGUCUCUUCUUUUGUCCUCACUUCUCCAAAGCCUUCAUGUCACCGCCAGUGAUCCCUUCUCCGCAUUCUUGCUCCAGAUCACCAGUUCGGUGGCCAGGGGCAGGAGCUCUACUUACUGCUACCGAUGUGGACGUGGGUCCACACUGGGCUUUGUGUUUCAACUCUUGCUUGCUGUUGCUUCAGGCCGAUGCCUCCUUGUGCUCUAGUGAGGAUGCCUGAGUUGCCUCGACUCCCAGACACCUCUCCUUUCCCCUUAUACCACGAUUGUUUCUUUUCAUUCAUAGCACUGAUGUUGUUUUGUUCUUCCUUAGGCAUCCUCGGGAUACCCAGAUGCUGGACCUGCUCCCUCUGUCCUGGGUGUCCUCUGUCCCCUGGCCCUCACCAGCAUCCAUUCCUACCGCUCAAGUCUCCGCUCCCCAAGAAGUCCUUGUCCCUCUGGAAACUGCCAUGUCCUCCUUGCCCUCUGAGCUUUGUGCACGCCGUUCCUGCUCCCCUGUGCCCGUCCCUCCGGCCCCCAGCCUGACUCCCCUUCCUGGGAGGGCCCGGCCUGCCGCUCCGGGUACCCAGGACUGUUGCUAAUCAGCUGUGUCUAAUUCCAUUUGAAGAAUUAACAAAUAAAAGAAUAAACACACCUGCCCGUUCUGGUUCAGAAUUGUCCAAAAGUAGUGCUCCUCAUCUGAC